UUAAACACACAAAGUCCGUUAUUCAAGUACAUCACAAAUCAUAUUCUAAUUUGAAAUGCAACAAACAUAAUGGUUCUCUCAUGAGGGAAAUGCAAUAGCUUGUCUUCAUUAAUUACUCUGGUAAACUAAAACGUCUGGCCCAUCAUUGGAAAAUGUCUUCUUUGCUUUGAGAGCUACAUCAUCAUGGUAAAUCGAACCGUCAUUUUUUGUCUCAAAAUAUGGCGUUUGUUCUUUAAGUGUAACAUCAUUGUGAUAUAUAGAUAGAUCAAGCCUCGGAUCAAACUCCUUUUUGAGACCUGCAUCAUUAUGGUGAUUUGUAAAAUCAUGUUUUGUCUCAAAAUAUAGCUUAUGUGCUUCAAGAUUGGCAUGGUUGUGGUUUUCAGUUGUGCGACAAUCGGCUUUCUCUUUUGUGGAGGUAGAAGCUUCAACGAGUGCUUGUAAUGCUUCUGGCAGUGGCUGAUCUUUCAUUUCCCUACUCCAAUAUUCACCCACAUCUUUUCUUGCAUUGACAGUGCUUGAGAACUGCAAAAUAAAAAUAAUAAAACUCACUCGUCAGUUUAUUUAAGAAAAAUAAAACUUAUAUCAUUAAUGGGUUUCAAUUAGCUAAUCUUCAUUGAUCCAUUAAUGUAUUUAAACACACAUACACAUUAAGAACAGACUUUUUUCUUUUUUUUUUUUUUUUUUUUUGAAAUUUCAUUACUAAUUAACAGACUAUUACUAACCAAGAUAAGUAAGAAGAUAGAGAGGAAAGCAAAAAGCAAUUUCAUCUUUUUUGCAGAGAAGAAAUUAGACAAUGUGUAGUGUUAUUUGAGUGGAUAUCCGUCGUCCCUGAUAUCGUCACUAUUUAUAGCCAAAAUCAAAGAAUGCAAAAAUAUAAAGAAAUUAUUAUGUAAGGUGCAAAUAAGGUGACCUCUCAUUUCAUAUUGUCCUUCUUGUCGUAAUACGACAAAUAAAUAUCAUAAUCUUGGGAGGUACCCAAAUCGUGUAUUAGGUACCCAAAUAACAUACGACGUAAUUACUAUAUGUAAUCUCUAGGUUUUAUUCAAAUAUACUAAUAAAACUUUAGUUUCUAAAAUUAUACUACGAAGUCUUUACAUUAUAAUUUCGUUACACUAUAGAGUCUAAUUAUUAGUUUUUUCGUUAAGUGACUGUAAAAUAUUAAAAGCACCCCUAAACAUAAUUAGUAUAUAAUCCUUACUAUUAGGUGAAAUACACUAAUAAAGACAUUAUUUUUCAUACCUUUACAUUAUUUAAUCCCUAUAUAUAGUAAUUGUGUUUAGGGUUAUUUUUAAUAUUCCACAACAAUUUAAUAAAAAAAAAACUAACCGCUGGACCUUAUAGUAUAAUAGAAUUAUAAUGCUGAGAUUAAAUAGUGUAAUUUUAAAAAUGAAAGUCUUUACUAAUGUAUUUGAUAUAAACCUAGGAACUAUAUAGUAAUUAACACAUAACAUAAUCUUAGGCUAAUUACUGUUUAGUCUUAUAUUAUAAUCAAAUAUAUAAAUUAGGAAUUUAGUUUUUUCAAAAUUCUAUUUUUUUUUCCUACCCUAAAACUUUUGCGAGUACAAGAUUAGUACAUUAUGAAUACUGGAAUAGAUUUGAGGUCAUUAAAAAGUACAAUUUUAUAAAUUAAAGUAUUCUAACAGGUAGAAGUGAACUUUAAAGGUUUGAAAUAUAUAUAUAUAUAUAUAUUUAAACAUCAGUAAAAAUUGAAUUUAAGAUAUUUUGAUUCCAAAACUCAACGCUUUAAUCACUUGGCUAAAAUACAUUUAGUUUAACUGUUUGUACUUGCUGAUAUCGGUUGUUUAUAAUUGCUAGUUCGUGGCUGAUAGUUAUUAAUUGAUAAUGUAUAGUUUUUUUUAUAUUACUCUCAUAUACAAUAUAUGUUAUUUUUUAAGGUAAAUAUAUUAUUUUUUUUAUUUUAACAAAAUCAUACACCUGUGCAUUGCUCAAAUUAUAGUAUAGUCUUUUAUUGAAAAUAUUAAAUACUUUAUUUAUUAAUAAUUUAUGAUAUAAUUACACUCCUAAAAAAUAAUUUAUUUUGUCAUUCUAGCAUGGUAACUUUGCAUCUUUGCGGAUUUAAAUGAUAAUCUAGUUCUUUGCAUUUAACCCCAAAAUAAUCACAUGAAAAGGAAAAAAAAAAAAAAAAUCUUUUGAAAAGGUUGUUUGCUUGUGGAUUUCAUUUCCCUCUGUAUUCUAUUUUUGCUUUUGGUUUUCAGUAUUUCAUACCCUUUUUUGGUUUGUAAAUUUGGUUUAUUGUUGUAGAUCAACAUUUUCUUUUUCUGGUUGAAAAUUGAUGAAAUCUAUGUGUUUCUCCAAUAUUACAUGGUUAGCAAUAGCAACUUAGCAUACAGAGCAAUCCAUGUUAGUAAAUAAUUAGCUAGCUUUCUAAAUAUUUCAAGAAUAAAAUCAUAUAUUUUCAAUAUUUAUUUUGCAUUCCCAAUUCUAAAGAUACAACUAAAGUGAUGCAAACAUAUAUAGAAACAUAUGAUGCAAGAGAAACUGCUUACAUAGCUUCAACACACGAAGUCCGUUAUUCAAGUACAUCACAAAUCAUAUUCUAAUUUGAAAUGCAACAAACAUAAUGGUUCUCUCAUGAGGGAAAUGCAAUAGCUUGUCUUUAUUAAUUACUCUGGUAAAUUAACAUGUCUGGCCUAUCAUUGGAAAAUGUCUUCUUUGCUUUGAGAGCUACAUCAUCAUGGUAAAUUGAAGCGUCAUUUUUUGUCUCAAAAUAUGGCGUUUGUUCUUUGAGUGUGACAUCAUUUUGAUAUAUAGACAGAUCAAGCCUCGGAUCAAACUCCUUUUUGAGACCUGCAUCAUUAUGGUGAUUUGUAAAAUCAUUUUUUGUCUCAAAAUAUAGCUUAUGUGCUUUAAGUGUGGCAUGGUUGUGGUUUUCAGUUGUGCGAAAAUCGGCUUUGUCUUUUGUGGAGGUAGAAGCUUCAACAAGUGCUUGUAAUGCUUCUGGCGGUGGCUGAUCUUUCAUUUCCCUACUCCAAUAUUCACCCACAUCUUUUCUUGCAUUGACAGUGCUUGAG
Molecule: long non-coding RNA, 3032 nt
Filed under: Jatropha curcas
Lineage: Eukaryota; Viridiplantae; Streptophyta; Magnoliopsida; Malpighiales; Euphorbiaceae
Description: long non-coding RNA (JCUR_LNC000436)
Source: RNAcentral